RNAcentral lists this ribosomal RNA (253 nucleotides) under uncultured bacterium. RNAcentral describes it as "partial 16S ribosomal RNA". It matches the Rfam family "Bacterial small subunit ribosomal RNA", at positions 524 to 776 of the family's 1533-position model. The record is from RNAcentral.
UACGUAGGGGGCAAGCGUUGUCCGGAUUUAUUGGGCGUAAAGAGCGUGUAGGCGGUUUGGUAGGUCCGCUGUGAAAACUCGAGGCUCAACCUCGAGACGCCGGUGGAAACCAUCAGACUAGAGUCCGGAAGAGGAGAGUGGAAUUCCUGGUGUAGCGGUGAAAUGCGCAGAUAUCAGGAGGAACACCAGCGGCGAAGGCGGCGCUCUGGGCCGGAACUGACGCUGAGGAGCGAAAGCGUGGGGAGCGAACAGG